This 30-nucleotide non-coding RNA is filed under the name Homo sapiens (human). The record is from RNAcentral. Lineage: Eukaryota; Metazoa; Chordata; Mammalia; Primates; Hominidae.
UGGCCCGUUCUUGAUGGUCGCUGUCUCUUC